This 458-nucleotide long non-coding RNA is filed under the name Coccomyxa subellipsoidea. RNAcentral describes it as "long non-coding RNA (CSUB_LNC000388)". Lineage: Eukaryota; Viridiplantae; Chlorophyta; Trebouxiophyceae; Coccomyxaceae. The record is from RNAcentral.
GAAAGCACCGCUGUGGAGCUGCAGGAGCAGCAGUCUUAGACAGGAAGGCUUUCUGCGCAGAAGAUGAAAGCAAACUCCGCCAAGUCCCUGCAUACAGCCAUACUUUUCAAUGCAAGGAUCAAAAUUAGGGAUUCAAAAAAAUUAUAAUGGGUGCUAUCAGAGCACUGCUGUCCCCUUUGGAUCUCUCACCUCUCAGCAUUGGUGUGCCUCGGUGGCACCCAAGAUAGCAGCGCACAUGGACUGCUCUAUUGACGAUCUCCAGGACCAGAUUCUGAUACUUAAUCAAUUUGAUAUCCUAAGAGUCUCCGACAGACGCGAUGUGUCGGAAGCGUCACUGAUCCUGAUCACUGAUGGCCCAGGAGUCUUGCAUGCCCUCGAUGACUGCGAUUGCCACUGCCGGAGAGAUUUUCUGGGGAAUUAUCAGUAUGAAUUUCGGCGUGAAAGAGCCCCAAACAAGA